This 497-nucleotide ribosomal RNA is filed under the name uncultured bacterium. Its description in RNAcentral is "partial 16S ribosomal RNA". It matches the Rfam family "Bacterial small subunit ribosomal RNA", at positions 28 to 507 of the family's 1533-position model. The record is from RNAcentral.
GAUGAACGCUGGCGGCGUGCCUAAUACAUGCAAGUCGAGCGAACAGACGAGGAGCUUGCUCCUCUGACGUUAGCGGCGGACGGGUGAGUAACACGUGGAUAACCUACCUAUAAGACUGGGAUAACUUCGGGAAACCGGAGCUAAUACCGGAUAAUAUAUUGAACCGCAUGGUUCAAUAGUGAAAGACGGUUUUGCUGUCACUUAUAGAUGGAUCCGCGCCGCAUUAGCUAGUUGGUAAGGUAACGGCUUACCAAGGCAACGAUGCGUAGCCGACCUGAGAGGGUGAUCGGCCACACUGGAACUGAGACACGGUCCAGACUCCUACGGGAGGCAGCAGUAAGGAAUCUUCCGCAAUGGGCGAAAGCCUGACGGAGCAACGCCGCGUGAGUGAUGAAGGUCUUCGGAUCGUAAAACUCUGUUAUUAGGGAAGAACAAAUGUGUAAGUAACUAUGCACGCCUUGACGGUACCUAAUCAGAAAGCCACGGCUAACUACGUG